Molecule: long non-coding RNA, 3209 nt
Organism: Triticum dicoccoides
Lineage: Eukaryota; Viridiplantae; Streptophyta; Magnoliopsida; Poales; Poaceae
Exons: 6
Source: RefSeq, a predicted model, not a curated record
CGUGUCCAUCACGAGCGCAGGCGUUACAGUUCGUCGCACCCGUCUAUACCCACGAGGCCGGCCAGCCGGCCAGGACCCCAGAUCUCCAAUUUCGAUUCGACGCGAUCCCUCCCGUCCCGCUAGAAUUCCACCUAGGUUUACGGCCUGCCGCCCGCCGGAUCCCGAGUUGGCGGUGGCGACUGGCGAGGGGCUGGUGGCUGGGCUGCACGCUGGAACCCGGCGCCGCGGCGGAGCAUGGCGACCGCCUGGCCAGGAGGCGUCACGGGGUCAUAGAGAGGCGCCGAGCGCUUCUCCUCGGCCGCCGCCGCCGCCGUUAACACCUUCCCGUCCAGCCUUCUUCCUCAUAGAUCUAGGGUAGACGGGGAGCAGAGGAGCAGUCCGCAGAUCAGGAGGAGGAGCAGAUCCGGGUCCAGCGUUGGCUGCAGCCAUGCGGAUGAUCCAGGGGGAGCUUGAUGCAAGCACGAUGCCGAAUCUCUCUGGUGCGGCGCGGUUGCCGUACGUCAGGGAGAGGCACCGGCCGGGCGCUUCUCCUCGGCCGCCGACGCCGCAGCAGCCCAUACGUUGCCUUCCUCGUCCAGCCGUCUUCCUCCGAGAUGUGAUUGGUAGAGGAGCACGAGGAGCAACAGAUCCAAGUUCAGCGAUGCUGGCUGCAGCCAUGCAUGGGACGCUAGGUCGAUCAAGGGGAGGCGAAUGAUGCCAGCGGAUGCCCCAUGAGGUUUGCCUUAAACUUUGAUUCUAGUCAUCUACUGAUUUUUAGCAUGUGGCGUGGGAACUGAAAGUCUGAAACUUGUACCCAAGUUUCCAUGUCGCCCGAAAACUUACACCGCGGAGAACAUUUCUCUUUGCUACCACGAUAGGCAACGAGCUAUCGUGGACUGAAUAUUGAAAUAGUACUGUAUUUUAUUAUAGUAAACUGGAAAGAUUCUGCAAUAUGACCACACAUAUCUUUGCCAUCUUGAGUAGAGUAUAGGUUACUGAUAAUAUCGUUGUUUAAGAGCAUCUCCAAAGCAGAUCCUCAAAGUCCACGUAUAUAUCCGGACCACAAUAUUUGGAUAGCUUUUGUCAUUCAAUACGAACUCGUAUGUCCACGGACUAGUCCGCAUGUUUAAAAUCCGAUAUUCUGGAAACAACCAUGAGGCGUCAGGGGGCUAUGCGGGAGUUCGAACAUCCUCCAAACCAACAAAAAGCUAUCAUGUGCCUACGCUACCACGCAUUCCGUUCUCCCCUCUCUCCUCCAAAAGCAAGAGGAGUAGUGAUGCAUACAGGGACCACACACCCACUUGCCCUCUCCUCCUUUCUCCCACUGCAAUUUCUUUCACGAAAUUUGCAAAUAGCUUUGGAUGGUUGCCUUCCACAUCUUGUCCGCUGACAGCGUCCGGACACGUUUGAGGACAUUGUAGUGUCUGUUUUAGGGAUUUACACUAGAGACGCCCUCAGGCUGCUUAUUACCAAGUGGGAAUUUCCGGGUUCGAUUUUAAUCAUAGGCCAUUUAAGUUUGUUUGUUUUUCUCCGUAGUUUUUUUAAGAAACCAGGAGUUAUUUUUUCCAUUUCAGUUCAAAUUUCGAAGUAAUCAUACUUGAAAUAGUAAACACUACUUGUCUUCUUUCCAUGUGUAGCAAACUUUCCUCGUUUACAAUUUUUAGUCUAAUACUUCUUAAGGAAAUUUGCAGUACUAGAACAACUCCAGCAGAGUUGUCAUAUCAAGCCAAACAACAUAAUAACCUGUAUGGCGACUUUGACCAAAAAAGCCGUUCUAGCAGAGUCGCCAUCCACCACUCCAUUGCCAUAUGUUUGGAGGGAACUCCGAAUCAAGACCUACCUUAAUAUUUGGAGGACAGGGAGAGGGACAUUUAGAGCGCACACCAUCCCAAAAACUGCUACUUGGCGUGAGCGACAUUUCCCCUCCGUCCCCUCUUCCCGCCCGUGAUGCCACCUCACACACCUCCUCGUAGCACAACCUCCGUUCGACCACAUGCCAUGUUGAUGACACCAUCAACUCCGACACGACCCCUGCAUCCCAUUCCUCCGAUCUCCCAUGGGAUCAUGCACUUCCCUCUCAUCCUUGUCCUCCAUACUAUUCAGCGCAACCCCCCUCAACAUCACGUUGCCGAGGACACCACCUCGUUGGAUCUUCCAUCGACGAUGCAACCACACAGGCUGCAGACCCUCUGCUGUCAAGCAUCAACUCCAUCCUCCAACCUCCCCCACAGCCACCACAUUGUGUUGGUUGCCCAACCAUAGCGAAGAACAAUACAAAAUGGAGGAAGAAGGUGAAUUUCAACUCCCCACUUUGUUCAAGCAGUUGUCGAAGCAUUGGCGCCUUCGAACUUUGAAGCAUUUGGUGAUAUGCAAAGUUGGCAAAUAAACCUCCUUCCUUUGUCCUUUCAUUUGUUUGCUUCAAUGCAAGGUGUUAGUAGAACAAUGGUGGUAGCUAUGUAAUCUUUGUGCGUAGUGUUGCUUUUAUGUAUUUCAGAGGAUUGCUUGUUAAUAAUGAAUCCUUAUUGAGGGAUAUGACGCAAGAUUCAGUUGAUACCAAUAAUUUGAAUAGUAGAGACUUCUCUCUUCAUUAAAUAUUGUUGAGCACUCUGAGUGGUCAGAUGCUGCGAGCAAAGAUGCGCAACUGGAUCAAUUCCAUGCCUCCUAAUCUUCUACAAAGAAAGCAUCUCCGGUUUCAAACUACAUCAAUGAAGAAGACCUUCUGUUUUGUUGGCAUGGCAUGAUACCACUCUGGAUGCGGUUGCCAAGAAUGGUCAAACUAGUAUAGAGUAUUGGAAGUGACCAAAAGAGAGUUCUAACCAUCAAGGAAGGUAUUUGGAGCAAGUAAGGAACCCAUCUCCUAGUAGUGUUACCAUUAACAACAUGGGAUAGCCCAGGAAAGGUACAAACAACUGCCGAGGGUGAAGGGGAAAGCAUUUGGCCUUUGACCUCGUUGAGAAGGAUUAGAGGGCAAUGUGAAGAGGAAAUAGAAGGAGGAGUCUCCACCCUUGAAACAAAUGAGUCAAUCCAUUGACGCCAUUUUGUUGGAAAGCCUUUCAUAUGCAUAUAUUGUUGCAAGAAUGGCCAUUUAAAUUUGUUAUAGGCCUUUCCAAAAUCUACUUUGAAGAUAGCUCGGUCAAGUUUCGUCGAUCGCAACGUAUGGAUCCUUUCAUGUAAUACAACAAUCCCCUCCAGGAUGUGUCGCCCUGGCAUGAACGUCGUUUGUGUCGUCC